This 596-nucleotide long non-coding RNA is filed under the name Ananas comosus (pineapple). RNAcentral's name for it is "long non-coding RNA (ACOM_LNC018739)". The record is from RNAcentral. Lineage: Eukaryota; Viridiplantae; Streptophyta; Magnoliopsida; Poales; Bromeliaceae.
UAGCCUCCGUUUGUUUCGGGGUUAAAAAAAAAAUAACUAUUUCAGAAAUAGAAUUAAGUUCAGAAUUAAAGUGGGAUUAAAAUUUUUUUAUAUUUGAUUAGGGAUUGCAGUUAGUUUAGAAUAAUAAAAAAUAAUGUUUGGUUGAAAUAGGUGGGAUAAAAAGAUAAUGAUUGAUUGGAGUAGGUAGGAUAAGAAAUAUAGUGGGUUAUUAUGAAUAGAAAAUAGUGUUUGGUUGGAGUUUGGUGGGAUUAGCUAAUCCGGAAUAAUUUAUUUGAGGUGGGGUUAGAUAGGGUUAGCUAACCCCACCCAUUUUUUGAGGUGUUUGGGAAUAAUAUGGGGGUUAAGAGGUUAUUCCACCCCUUAACCCCCAACCAAACAAGGGCUUAUGGUUUAUUGUUGUUGUUGUUGCUGCUGCUGCUUUUUGUUUUUGUUUUUUUUUUUUUUUCUUAAGAAAUAGGUAGCAUAUUAUCAACUUUGUUUAUUUCAUUUGGAAAUAAACUUAGCUGAAAAUGUGAAUCAACUAGGAUUCGAACUUGGAAUCUCGAAUAUCAAUCACCAAACGUUUUGCCACUUACUCUAAAAACGGUCGGUAUUAU